This 444-nucleotide ribosomal RNA is filed under the name uncultured bacterium. RNAcentral's name for it is "bacterial SSU rRNA". It matches the Rfam family "Bacterial small subunit ribosomal RNA", at positions 18 to 508 of the family's 1533-position model. The record is from RNAcentral.
CCUGGCUCAGAACGAACGCUGGCGGCAGGCUUAACACAUGCAAGUCGAGCGCCCCGCAAGGGGAGCGGCAGACGGGUGAGUAACGCGUGGGAAUCUACCCUUUACUACGGAACAACUGAGGGAAACUUCAGCUAAUACCGUAUGUGUCCUUCGGGAGAAAGAUUUAUCGGUAAAGGAUGAGCCCGCGUUGGAUUAGCUAGUUGGUGGGGUAAAGGCCUACCAAGGCGACGAUCCAUAGCUGGUCUGAGAGGAUGAUCAGCCACACUGGGACUGAGACACGGCCCAGACUCCUACGGGAGGCAGCAGUGGGGAAUCUUGCGCAAUGGGCGAAAGCCUGACGCAGCCAUGCCGCGUGGAUGAUGAAGGUCUUAGGAUUGUAAAAUCUUUCACCGGGGACGAUAAUGUACGGUACCCGGAAAAGUAAGCCCCGGCUAAUUAAAGUGC